This 492-nucleotide ribosomal RNA is filed under the name uncultured bacterium. Its description in RNAcentral is "partial 16S ribosomal RNA". It matches the Rfam family "Bacterial small subunit ribosomal RNA", at positions 29 to 507 of the family's 1533-position model. The record is from RNAcentral.
AGUGAACGCUGGCGGUAGGCCUAACACAUGCAAGUCGAACGGCAGCACAGUAAGAGCUUGCUCUUACGGGUGGCGAGUGGCGGACGGGUGAGGAAUACAUCGGAAUCUUCUUUUUCGUGGGGGAUAACGUAGGGAAACUUACGCUAAUACCGCAUACGCCCUACGGGUGAAAGCAGGGGAUCUUCGGACCUUGCGCGAUUGAAUGAGCCGAUGUCGGAUUAGCUAGUUGGCUGGGUAAAGGCCCACCAAGGCGACGAUCCGUAGCUGGUCUGAGAGGAUGAUCGGCCACACUGGAAGUGAGACACGGUCCAGACUCCUACGGGAGGCAGCAGUGGGGAAUAUUGGACAAUGGGCGCAAGCCUGAUCCAGCCAUACCGCGUGGGAGAAGAAGGCCUUCGGGUUGUAAAGCCCUUUUGUUGGGAAAGAAAAGCAGCAGGUUAAGACCCCGCUGUUCUGACGGUACCCAAAGAAUAAGCACCGGCUAACUACGUG